AACGAACGCUGGCGGCAUGCCUAACACAUGCAAGUCGAACGAGACCUUCGGGUCUAGUGGCGCACGGGUGCGUAACGCGUGGGAACCUGCCCUUAGGUUCGGAAUAACUCCCCGAAAGGGGUGCUAAUACCGGAUAAUGUCUUCGGACCAAAGAUUUAUCGCCUUUGGAUGGGCCCGCGUUGGAUUAGCUAGUUGGUAGGGUAAAAGCCUACCAAGGCGACGAUCCAUAGCUGGUCUGAGAGGAUGAUCAGCCACACUGGGACUGAGACACGGCCCAGACCCCUAGGGGAGGCAGGAGGGGGGAAUAUUGGAAAAUGGGCGAAAGCCUGAUCCAGAAAGGCCGGGUGAGUGAUGAAGGCCUUGGGGUUGUAAAGCUCUUUUACCCGGGAGGAUAAUGAAAGUACCGGGAGAAAAAGCUCCGGCUAACUCCGU
This 432-nucleotide ribosomal RNA is filed under the name uncultured bacterium. Its description in RNAcentral is "partial 16S ribosomal RNA". It matches the Rfam family "Bacterial small subunit ribosomal RNA", at positions 29 to 506 of the family's 1533-position model. The record is from RNAcentral.